CCAGAAGGAGCUACUCCUGGAAGAGGAAGGGAGAACUGGAGAGACUGAUAGAAUUCAAGAAACUGAAGGAAACUUUGGAACAGAAUGCUUGCCACGCACACUGCUGUGGUCUGUGCCUGAUUACACACAGGCAGCUGCACCUCGCAAAUGCUGCCGGGAUCACAUCAUCCUGUUAUGAAAUCGGACUUUUAAAGAGCUGGAGUUAAGUGGCAACUUUAGUGGUUGUCAACACAGCCUCAGUCAAGGCCUGAGAGAGUGUAGUUUACUGGGCGAGGUUGCUCUGGGUAGCCUUAAAAGGGCCUGGAAUCGGUGAGUGAAGGAAGGAGGACGAGGGCGGGGAAGGAACCAGGAAGCCAGGAAGCUGCAGCACGAAGUCCCCCAUCUUGCUCUCUUAGUGCUGACCCCAGUGUUUCAGCUUCCAGUCUCCAUUUGCUCCCUGAGCUCCUGCCAUGCUCAUCUCUGUCUGCUCAGGACUCUCUCUUUCAUUUUCUCGAGCUGUGUUCCUAAACCUUGGGGCAGAAGGGAUAGGGAGUCAAUCAAAUCAGGCCAGGAUUAGAAAAUCAGCUACUGAGUUGGAGGGCCACAAGGAGCCACACAGUAAUCACAUUACAAAUGUCCUAUCUCAUCAACUCUGAGAGUGGGCAUGAUUUUUAUCUUCAUUCUGUAGAUAAGUAAAGUCAGGCUGAUAGAGGCUACAUGGAUUACC
This 706-nucleotide long non-coding RNA is filed under the name Homo sapiens (human). RNAcentral's name for it is "HSALNT0168728". Lineage: Eukaryota; Metazoa; Chordata; Mammalia; Primates; Hominidae. The record is from RNAcentral.